Molecule: ribosomal RNA, 241 nt
Filed under: Lactobacillus delbrueckii subsp. bulgaricus
Lineage: Bacteria; Bacillati; Bacillota; Bacilli; Lactobacillales; Lactobacillaceae
Description: partial 23S ribosomal RNA
Rfam family: Bacterial large subunit ribosomal RNA
Source: RNAcentral
AACGAUUUGGGCACUGUCUCAACGAGAGACUCGGUGAAAUUUUAGUACCUGUGAAGAUGCAGGUUACCCGCGACAGGACGGAAAGACCCCAUGGAGCUUUACUGUAGUUUGAUAUUGAGUGUCUGUACCGCAUGUACAGGAUAGGUAGGAGCCGUAGAAAUCGGAACGCUAGUUUCGAUGGAGGCGCUGGUGGGAUACUACCCCUGCGUUAUGGCCACUCUAACCCGCACCACUGAUCGUG